Molecule: long non-coding RNA, 527 nt
Filed under: Mytilus galloprovincialis (Mediterranean mussel)
Lineage: Eukaryota; Metazoa; Mollusca; Bivalvia; Mytilida; Mytilidae
Source: RNAcentral
UAAUCAAAGAGCUGAAGAGCUCUGAAGGGAAAAGACGGCCAUUGUUCCAAUUUUUAGGGGGGUAUCUUUUGAUAGUCUACAUACAAAGAAUGAGCAAAAGAACAGCUAGAACAUAUAGAAAGGCUGACAAUAAUGAAACUAAUUGUUGUUUAUUGUUAUUUCAUUUACUUAGUCAAGAAUUCAUCAUAGAGACAAUUUGGACCAAUGAGAUCUGCACUUUCUAAAUCAAAACAUUUGAUUUAAGUUGGGAGUUAAUUAUCUAAAAUUCAAUUGAAUUUAACAACUACUACAUUAUAUUUUAAAAUUUUAAUUAUGUACAACUGAACGGCAGGCUAAGACUAUUCUCAAUUUUUUGUGACAAUAUUCUCAAGAAAGUGAGGACUGAAAAAUCUAUUCAGUUUUAAUUUUCCAUUGAUAAAGUUCCCAGUUACAACUCUCAUCACAGGGAUACAUGUACUUAUAAAAUCAAAUAUGAUUGAUAUAAAAGCUGUGUGAAGUUUGUUUCCAGAUCCCACAUUUUGAUAUAU